This is a long non-coding RNA of Capsella rubella, 503 nucleotides long. RefSeq lists it as uncharacterized. The record is from RefSeq and is a predicted model, not a curated record. Lineage: Eukaryota; Viridiplantae; Streptophyta; Magnoliopsida; Brassicales; Brassicaceae. The transcript is spliced from 4 exons.
CCCAGAAAUUUAAUCUAUCUAUCUACUUACUUUCUCAUGUUCCAAACUCUAGUUUUCAUCAUUUGAAAUUUAUAACGAUGUUGGCAUCUAGAAGAUUCAAGGAUGAUGGUGCAGCAAUCGAUUGGUUUCAGAAUAUUCAAGGAUGAUGGUGCAGCAAAUGAUGGUCCUGUAGAGCAUGCAAAGGUUUUCUUAUGUAAAUCGAUUGGGAUCAUUUCGAGAACUCUGGUUUUAAUUGGAUAAUUUUUUUUUGGGGAAGUGAUUCAGUUUUUAAACUCUAUUAUAUGGAAUGGUGGAUAACACCGGUUUAAGGACGAACAAAAUUGGAUUAGAAGGUAGAAUUUAUAUUCAACCGAACUAAGGAGUUUGUGUUUCAGAAUUCUUGCGGAUUCAAGUCACUUAUUAGCAUAUAAGAACUAUGCUUAGCUAAUUGAAUGAUUUUUGAAGUCUUUUAUAUGGCAUCGUUGACAUGUCCGGAUAAAGAACGUAGGACAUUAGACAAUAAG